GGUCCCUCCUGCAGCAGCUCCAGGAGCUGAUCAAGGAAACAUCCACCAAGGCCGCCCAGACCGGCCCCUGUGUCCUGAUCCUGGUCCUGUCCCUGGGCCUGAUCCUGCUCCCGAGCUCCAGCCCCUUCCAGCAGGAGGAGCACCGGGAUGGCCUCGGACCCACCGGAGUGAUCUCCAGGAACAUCCUGACACGGCAGGAGCCGGGAGAGGCCGGAGACCCCCCGAUCCCGGGGUGGGGCUGGGGGGCACAGCCGGGAGCGGAGGAUGGAGCUGGGGGGGGGUCUGGGGAGGGGUUCACCCCCCCUGGAAGGGAUCCAGGGACAAAUUCCUCCGGGCAGGAUGUGGGGACAGGGGGACACGGGGAUGAGAUGUGACCUGGAGACCCCUGGAAUAAACCCACGCUCCG
Long non-coding RNA from Corapipo altera (White-ruffed manakin), 406 nucleotides. RefSeq lists it as uncharacterized. The transcript is spliced from 3 exons. The record is from RefSeq and is a predicted model, not a curated record. NCBI's taxonomy places the organism in Eukaryota, Metazoa, Chordata, Aves, Passeriformes, Pipridae.